CUCAAAUCUCAAAGAAAGAGGCACACCCACAACUGGAUUGCAUUGGAGACAUCCAUUGUGCAGAGGGGAUGACUCCUGAUGGCCAUCACCUGACUUUGCAACGAGUGCCAUUAUGUCGACAUUUCUCAACAGCUGUUGGAUUGAUCACUUGGAAAUUUGUGCUUGUGGGAGGGGGAGCAGAUGGAGGCUUUACUUACUUACUAACUACUUACAAGAUUAAUGUUCCCUCUAUGCUGCAACCCGCUGAGGCUUCCUGCUGUCUGCUAUCAUGACCUAUCAUUGCACGGACUCUGAGAGCUUAUUAAGGGUCACAUUUAUGGUGUUAAAAUGCAAAGUAACAAAACAAACAGGAAACUAAGCACUCGACUACAGCUGUCGUACUCCUAGGGUUUAAAUGCACGCUUUGUUUAACUAUUUCCACCUGAGAGGGAAAUAUUGUACUUCACUUUUGAAAUAUUUUUUUUGAUAAAAUUGAAAAUAAUACAUUUUUAGUUAUAUGACACAUAUUCCUUCUUUAAUCAGCCUAAAGUAUAUCAACAUGAUCUCCC
This is a long non-coding RNA of Gasterosteus aculeatus aculeatus (three-spined stickleback), 548 nucleotides long. NCBI's taxonomy places the organism in Eukaryota, Metazoa, Chordata, Actinopteri, Perciformes, Gasterosteidae. The record is from Ensembl.